ACUCCUACGGGAGGCAGCAGUGGGGAAUAUUGCACAAUGGGGGAAACCCUGAUGCAGCAACGCCGCGUGGAGGAUGACACAUUUCGGUGCGUAAACUCCUUUUAUAUGGGAAGAUAAUGACGGUACCAUAUGAAUAAGCACCGGCUAACUCCGUGCCAGCAGCCGCGGUAAUACGGAGGGUGCAAGCGUUACUCGGAAUCACUGGGCGUAAAGCGCGCGCAGGCGGCUAUUUAAGUUGGAUGUGAAAGCCUACGGCUCAACCGUAGAACUGCAUCCAAAACUAUUUAGCUAGAGUGUGGGAGAGGAAGAUGGAAUUAGUUGUGUAGGGGUAAAAUCCGUAGAGAUAACUAGGAAUACCAAAAGCGAAGGCAAUCUUCUGGAACACUACUGACGCUGAGGCGCGAAAGCGUGGGGAGCAAACAGGAUUAGAUACCCUGGUAGUCCACGCAGUAAACGAUGAAUGUUAGUCGUCGGGGGCCUAGUGUCUUCGGUGAUGCAGCUAACGCAUUAAACAUUCCGCCUGGGGAGUACGGUCGCAAGAUUAAAACUCAAAGGAAUAGACGGGGACCCGCACAAGUGGUGGAGCAUGUGGUUUAAUUCGAAGAUACGCGAAGAACCUUACCUAGCCUUGACAUAUAUUAGAAUCCACCAGAGAUGGAGGAGUGCCUUCGGGAGCUUUUAUACAGGUGCUGCACGGCUGUCGUCAGCUCGUGUCGUGAGAUGUUGGGUUAAGUCCCGCAACGAGCGCAACCCUCGUCACUAGUUACUAACGGUUCGGCCGAGGACUCUAGUGAGACUGCCUUCGUAAGGAGGAGGAAGGUGAGGACGACGUCAAGUCAUCAUGGCCCUUACGGCUAGGGCAACACACGUGCUACAAUGGCCAGGACAGUGAGACGCGAUACCGUGAGGUGGAGCAAAUCUAUAAACCUGGUCUCAGUUCGGAUUGUA
Molecule: ribosomal RNA, 948 nt
Filed under: uncultured Campylobacterota bacterium
Lineage: Bacteria; Pseudomonadati; Campylobacterota
Description: bacterial SSU rRNA
Rfam family: Bacterial small subunit ribosomal RNA
Source: RNAcentral